UACCAGCACCCCGAGUGGUCGGGACGAUUAUUGGGCCUAAAGCAUCCGUAGCCGGUUCUACAAGUCUUCCGUUAAAUCCACCUGCUUAACAGAUGGGCUGCGGAGGAUACUAUAAAGCUAGGAGGCGGGAGAGGCAAGCGGUACUUAGUGGGUAGGGGUAAAAUCCGUUGAUCCAUUGAAGACCACCAGUGGCGAAGGCGGCUUGCCAGAACGCACUCGACGGUGAGGGAUGAAAGCUGGGGGAGCAAACCGG
This 253-nucleotide ribosomal RNA is filed under the name uncultured bacterium. Its description in RNAcentral is "partial 16S ribosomal RNA". It matches the Rfam family "Archaeal small subunit ribosomal RNA", at positions 474 to 727 of the family's 1478-position model. The record is from RNAcentral.